UGGGGAAUCUUGCACAAUGGGGGAAACCCUGAUGCAGCGACGCCGCGUGAGCGAUGAAGCCCCUCGGGGUGUAAAGCUCUUUCGGCAGGGAAGAUUAUGACGGUACCUGCAGAAGCAGCUGCGGCUAACUACGUGCCAGCAGCCGCGGUAAUACGUAGGCAGCAAGCGUUGUUCGGAGUUACUGGGCGUAAAGGGUGUGUAGGCGGUCUUCUAAGUUUGGUGUGAAAUCUCCCGGCUCAACUGGGAGGGUGCGCCGAAUACUGAAAGACUAGAGUGCGGGAGAGGAUAGUGGAAUUCCUGGUGUAGCGGUGAAAUGCGUAGAUAUCAGGAGGAACACCGGUGGUGUAGACGGCUAUCUGGACCGUAACUGACGCUGAGACACGAAAGCGUGGGUAGCAAACAGGAUUAGAUACCCUGGUAGUCCACGCCCUAAACGAUGCAUAUUUGGUGUGGGCAGUUCAGUCUGUCCGUGCCGGAGCUAACGCGUUAAAUAUGCCGCCUGGGGAGUACAGUCGCAAGGCUG
Molecule: ribosomal RNA, 523 nt
Filed under: uncultured bacterium
Lineage: Bacteria
Description: bacterial SSU rRNA
Rfam family: Bacterial small subunit ribosomal RNA
Source: RNAcentral